This 374-nucleotide ribosomal RNA is filed under the name uncultured bacterium. RNAcentral's name for it is "bacterial SSU rRNA". It matches the Rfam family "Bacterial small subunit ribosomal RNA", at positions 524 to 898 of the family's 1533-position model. The record is from RNAcentral.
UACGAAGGGGGCUAGCGUUGCUCGGAAUUACUGGGCGUAAAGGGCGCGUAGGCGGACAGUUUAGUCAGAGGUGAAAGCCCAGGGCUCAACCUUGGAACUGCCUUUGAUACUGGCUGUCUUGAGUUCGGGAGAGGUGAGUGGAAUGCCGAGUGUAGAGGUGAAAUUCGUAGAUAUUCGGCGGAACACCAGUGGCGAAGGCGACUCACUGGCCCGAUACUGACGCUGAGGCGCGAAAGCGUGGGGAGCAAACAGGAUUAGAUACCCUGGUAGUCCACGCUGUAAACGAUGAGUGCUAGUUGUCGGCAUGCAUGCAUGUCGGUGACGCAGCUAACGCAUUAAGCACUCCGCCUGGGGAGUACGGUCGCAAGAUUAAA